Molecule: ribosomal RNA, 253 nt
Filed under: uncultured bacterium
Lineage: Bacteria
Description: partial 16S ribosomal RNA
Rfam family: Bacterial small subunit ribosomal RNA
Source: RNAcentral
UACGUAGGGGGCUAGCGUUGUCCGGAUUUAUUGGGCGUAAAGAGCGUGUAGGCGGCCAGGUAGGUCCGCUGUGAAAGUCCGAGGCUCAACCUCGGAAUGUCGGCGGAAACCCUCUGGCUAGAGUCCGGAAGAGGAGAGUGGAAUUCCCGGUGUAGCGGUGAAAUGCGCAGAUAUCGGGAAGAACACCCGUGGCGAAGGCGGCUCUCUGGAACGCAACUGACGCUGAGACGCGAAAGCGUGGGGAGCAAACAGG